AAUCUGAAAGGAAACGAAAAUUCGGCAAAAGAUGCGGCUUUUAUACCACAUGCUAAAACUUUAUUAGAAGUUAAGAUCGUACUUUCUGCCAUGAUUUUAAUUUCUAAACCUGGAUUAUAGAUGGCGAUUCUUGAUUGUGGUUUGUCCUCAUUCACAAUCUACAAAAAGCGAGACGUUUCGAGUCUAAUUCCCUUAUCCCCGGAGAUGAAGCCGUUACAGGAAUUAGGAUGAGGGUUAGACCAGAACUCCCGUGUGUUACAUAUUAUAUAUAACUUGAUGUAAGGAUGUUAAAUAACGUUGGUCCAUCAAGGACAUGUCCAGAUAUAUCAUAACUGUUAGAUCUACCGUAUCUUUAUAGAUCAACUUGAAUAGACCGACUAUAUCUUUAUAGAUCGCCUUGAAUUAAAUCACGUGGGCCAUAUCCAAUAUCUCAUUCUACUUAUCACCAUCCUCAAUAUUCCUCUUGA
This 467-nucleotide long non-coding RNA is filed under the name Ananas comosus (pineapple). Its description in RNAcentral is "long non-coding RNA (ACOM_LNC029012)". The record is from RNAcentral. Lineage: Eukaryota; Viridiplantae; Streptophyta; Magnoliopsida; Poales; Bromeliaceae.